Long non-coding RNA from Gallus gallus (chicken), 1610 nucleotides. Lineage: Eukaryota; Metazoa; Chordata; Aves; Galliformes; Phasianidae. The record is from Ensembl.
GUUAAAUAGAGUUAUGUGUUUUGCUCUGCUCACCAUCAUCACAGGAAUAAGCAAGAGCAAUAUUUCUUGGGAGAACUGCUUGAGUUUCAGGCAUGGGGUCAAUCAGCACGCAGCUUGGGGAAAGGGAGGGGGCAUGCACUUUGGAUAGAGUUAUGAAAGCUGAAACCCUUUGGAUAGAGUUAUGAAAGCCGACUGCUGUAGGACAGCAACCAGCUCCCACAGACGCACAGGGUGAGAUGACAGCUUUCCUCUCCAGGCAUACCAGUGUUCAGGGUCUGCCUCACAGCAAUGCAAGUGUUGGAGCCCUUUGGCAAGCCAUCGCGGUGAAGGCAAGACCAAGCACUCGGCAGGAAAAGCCACUAAAUGGCAUCAGCUGUUCAGCUCCACACGGCCCUGGCAGUGCAGAAGGGAAGGGAGCCGCAGCGCUGGGGGAGCACGCAGCCUGCCCGUGUGCAGCACCAGGGCAGCCGCGGGCAGCAGCGCAGUGUGAAGCUCAAGCCCUGUGGCUCCGCUUGGCCCACAGGAGAGCCAGGCCUCGGUGCGUGCCAGGUGGAGGAAACCCUGCUCAUGCUGGCUCCCUUCCUGCAGGGCGGUCCCCGGGGAAGAUUCUUCCCCUUAUCAGCACGCCUCUCCUCAGAGGGCCAGGCCAACGUGCCCAAGUGCAGGGGCAGGCUGUGAGCACUGAGUUCCCAUACUGCCCAUGGGGAACCUCUCCUGCUCAGGCCACCAUAUGCUACAGAAACUGGCUCUGAGAAAACCUCAAUGAAGCAUUUCCUCUCCCAGAUGCCAAAGGCUAAUUGACCAGCACGAGACCUGCUGAACUUGGUGGAACCGAGGUGGAUAUAAUCACUCAAAAGAGCCAAUAACCAAUUAUCUGAAUGGCUUCAGCAGUUUCAAGGACCACUUGGAGAUAAUGCUCUCACGCAUGAAGAUAGGAACAGCACCAUCACCAUUUCCGAGCAUCUCCCACAGACACCACUGCGUGCUACCAGCAGCCUGCUGGUGAACGUGCAGGCUUCCCUUCUGGAUGCGUGGCUCUGCAUGGCCCUGAGAAAGCCCCCUCCAAACCAGCAGCAGCAGGAGCGGCCUCAUUUCUUGUGCCUUUCAGCUGAGAGCGAUUUACCAGACUGCAAAACAGCAAAUCAUUGCAGAAGGGGUCUCUGGAGGAGAAAUGGAGACCCGAGAGGAUUGGGGCGAUGCUGGAAGCCCUUUUUUAAGGAGCUGUAGAUGGAUAAUUGUCCAAGACAGAGUGGCUUGUUGACUUUCUCAUAGCAAAAGGCAGAGGGCUGUUUAAUUGAUUUUAGCCUGUAACUAAACAUAUACUUCUUUCAAUAUAAUGAACGGCAAUGCUAAAAUACUGUUCUCCUAAUGUAAAUUGAUCCAUUACAGAUGAGUGUUUAGAUCAAUGUGUGAUGUCCUCAUUGGAAAUAAAACUGUUUGCUCAAGAUCGUUAUAAAGACAACGGGCACUGAUAGAUGAUAUCGAUGUGACAAGGCAUGGCGCUUUGACAGGAUAUUGCCCAGAUGAUGCCCUCCAGUUAGGAAACCAACAUUCACCCAACAGCCACAUGUGCCUUUUUAGAGGCAACAAGAGGAAAAGAUACCAAUGCC